UUUGAGUUAUCGAGUAAUUAUUUUAUUUGGUCGUUCUUGUAAUAUAUUUGUUAUGUCAAUAUUUGUGAAGUUAUUAUUAUAUUAUUUUUCAUAUCGCAUUUAAUUGGCAAUUUGUUGAUUUGUAUUUACCCGAUUAGAAAAUUAAAGUCGGUCAUUGCGCCCUUUAUGUCGGUUAAUGAAAGAACCCAAACCUCAUCACAUUCCCUUCUCGUAGAUUCUGAAAUUUCAAAACCCAAAACCCCAAGGAAAACCCGAAACCCCGUGAAACCCCUUCUCCCUUGCGUCUAUCUCUCUCACACCCACAUCUCGCUGCCGCGCCGUCGGGCCUUGUUCGCCGGAGCUUCGCCGUGCUGUUCCCCCCCCCCCAACGCGGUGCUGAUGCUCUAAUUCCUUCGCAUCUCUCUCUCUCCUCUGUUCUCUUCGUCUUUGCUACUGAUAUUGCUGUGAGUUGUUGCUCGACGAACAGUCGCCGCCUUGCCGGAAUCUUGUCGCGCUGCUGUGGUUCGUGGCCAGUGGUGUUGCCCUUGUUCGUUUUUGUUGUGUUGUUGCUGAUUUCUCUCUUGCCUCUGUUCUUCUUCGCUGCUCUUUGAGCAGAGCAUCUUAAAUGUUUCAGGUUGAAGCCAUGAGUUAUUCUUUUGCAAGCUGAAGCGGAUAUGAGAUGGUGCAGUAUUAUAUUUGUUAUUGAAGUGAGAACGCUCCACUUAUAAUAAUUAAUCGUUUAUUUUCUAUAAUCUAUUUCUUCAUUCAAAAGUCGUUAGUGCUCCUGAUUCUCUGUUGGUUGUUGCUCCGCGAAAGCGUUGAGGUUGAUGAGCUUUGGGAGUUGAAAAUGUUUUAUUUAUUGAAAUUGUAACAGGUUCAUUUUAUUUCU
Molecule: long non-coding RNA, 868 nt
Organism: Beta vulgaris subsp. vulgaris (sugar beet)
Lineage: Eukaryota; Viridiplantae; Streptophyta; Magnoliopsida; Caryophyllales; Amaranthaceae
Exons: 2
Source: RefSeq, a predicted model, not a curated record